AAACAUUCAUGCAAUCCAAUCAAUCAUAAUAGAAAUUCCAUGACAACCACACAAUUAAGCAAUCAUGCCAUUGAUGUUAGACUACAUAUCAAUAUCCGUUAGAAUCCCAUAAUGGAGUUUAGUUCAUCUCUGAACCGAAAACCAUUAUGGGAUUAUAACAACACAUGAAAAAUAAAUAAAAUAAUUGAGAGAGAAGAUAGAAUUGAUCAAACCCAAUUGCAGAUUAUGUUCCAAAAGUGCUGUUCAAAUCUCCAAUAUUAUCCAACAAAAUUAAAGUAGUUCUUAUUCAAUGAAUCAAUCCAAAAGAAGAUAAAGAAAAUCUUCAAUGUAUGUUCAACCCUCUUUGGAAUUGUUAAAAGCUUGGAACCCUAGUUCUAUAAUCUAAAAACUGAUUAAAAUAAUAAUCAUAAUUUCAUCUGGUACUAACCAGAGUAGUUUAUGUCAAUACAAACACUUCCAAUUUCAAAUUUUAAAUUAAG
This 479-nucleotide long non-coding RNA is filed under the name Panax ginseng (ginseng). RNAcentral's name for it is "long non-coding RNA (PGIN_LNC004331)". Lineage: Eukaryota; Viridiplantae; Streptophyta; Magnoliopsida; Apiales; Araliaceae. The record is from RNAcentral.